Molecule: ribosomal RNA, 2871 nt
Filed under: Salmonella enterica subsp. enterica serovar Typhimurium
Lineage: Bacteria; Pseudomonadati; Pseudomonadota; Gammaproteobacteria; Enterobacterales; Enterobacteriaceae
Description: partial 23S ribosomal RNA
Rfam family: Bacterial large subunit ribosomal RNA
Source: RNAcentral
GGGUUGUGAGGUUAAGCGACUAAGCGUACACGGUGGAUGCCCUGGCAGUCAGAGGCGAUGAAGGACGUGCUAAUCUGCGAUAAGCGCCGGUAAGGUGAUAUGAACCGUUAUAACCGGCGAUUUCCGAAUGGGGAAACCCAGUGUGAUUCGUCACACUAUCAUUAACUGAAUCCAUAGGUUAAUGAGGCGAACCGGGGGAACUGAAACAUCUAAGUACCCCGAGGAAAAGAAAUCAACCGAGAUUCCCCCAGUAGCGGCGAGCGAACGGGGAGGAGCCCAGAGCCUGAAUCAGCAUGUGUGUUAGUGGAAGCGUCUGGAAAGGCGCGCGAUACAGGGUGACAGCCCCGUACACAAAAGCGCAUGUGCUGUGAGCUCGAUGAGUAGGGCGGGACACGUGGUAUCCUGUCUGAAUAUGGGGGGACCAUCCUCCAAGGCUAAAUACUCCUGACUGACCGAUAGUGAACCAGUACCGUGAGGGAAAGGCGAAAAGAACCCCGGCGAGGGGAGUGAAAAAGAACCUGAAACCGUGUACGUACAAGCAGUGGGAGCACCCUUCGGGGUGUGACUGCGUACCUUUUGUAUAAUGGGUCAGCGACUUAUAUUCUGUAGCAAGGUUAACCGUAUAGGGGAGCCGGAGGGAAACCGAGUCUUAAUUGGGCGUUAAGUUGCAGGGUAUAGACCCGAAACCCGGUGAUCUAGCCAUGGGCAGGUUGAAGGUUGGGUAACACUAACUGGAGGACCGAACCGACUAAUGUUGAAAAAUUAGCGGAUGACCUGUGGCUGGGGGUGAAAGGCCAAUCAAACCGGGAGAUAGCUGGUUCUCCCCGAAAGCUAUUUAGGUAGCGCCUCGUGAAUUCAUCUCCGGGGGUAGAGCACUGUUUCGGCUAGGGGGCCAUCCCGGCUUACCAACCCGAUGCAAACUGCGAAUACCGGAGAAUGUUAUCACGGGAGACACACGGCGGGUGCUAACGUCCGUCGUGAAGAGGGAAACAACCCAGACCGCCAGCUAAGGUCCCAAAGUCAUGGUUAAGUGGGAAACGAUGUGGGAAGGCCCAGACAGCCAGGAUGUUGGCUUAGAAGCAGCCAUCAUUUAAAGAAAGCGUAAUAGCUCACUGGUCGAGUCGGCCUGCGCGGAAGAUGUAACGGGGCUAAACCAUGCACCGAAGCUGCGGCAGCGAACGUAUCACCCAAGACAACUUUACGGAGUUGACGAUUGACGGAGCGAAGCGACGUCAAAGCGUUCAUUAAAGUCGAGUUGGCUUAGGGAUACGUUCGUUGGGUAGGGGAGCGUUCUGUAAGCCUGUGAAGGUGUGUCGUGAGGCAUGCUGGAGGUAUCAGAAGUGCGAAUGCUGACAUAAGUAACGAUAAAGCGGGUGAAAAGCCCGCUCGCCGGAAGACCAAGGGUUCCUGUCCAACGUUAAUCGGGGCAGGGUGAGUCGACCCCUAAGGCGAGGCCGAAAGGCGUAGUCGAUGGGAAACGGGUUAAUAUUCCCGUACUUGGUGUUACUGCGAAGGGGGGACGGAGAAGGCUAUGUUGGCCGGGCGACGGUUGUCCCGGUUUAAGCGUGUAGGUGUGUGUUCCAGGUAAAUCCGGUUCACUUUAACACUGAGGCGUGACGACGAGGCACUACGGUGCUGAAGCAACAAAUGCCCUGCUUCCAGGAAAAGCCUCUAAGCAUCAGGUAACACGAAAUCGUACCCCAAACCGACACAGGUGGUCAGGUAGAGAAUACCAAGGCGCUUGAGAGAACUCGGGUGAAGGAACUAGGCAAAAUGGUGCCGUAACUUCGGGAGAAGGCACGCUGACACGUAGGUGAAGUGAUUUACUCAUGGAGCUGAAGUCAGUCGAAGAUACCAGCUGGCUGCAACUGUUUAUUAAAAACACAGCACUGUGCAAACACGAAAGUGGACGUAUACGGUGUGACGCCUGCCCGGUGCCGGAAGGUUAAUUGAUGGGGUCAGCGUAAGCGAAGCUCCUGAUCGAAGCCCCGGUAAACGGCGGCCGUAACUAUAACGGUCCUAAGGUAGCGAAAUUCCUUGUCGGGUAAGUUCCGACCUGCACGAAUGGCGUAAUGAUGGCCAGGCUGUCUCCACCCGAGACUCAGUGAAAUUGAACUCGCUGUGAAGAUGCAGUGUACCCGCGGCAAGACGGAAAGACCCCGUGAACCUUUACUAUAGCUUGACACUGAACAUUGAGCCUUGAUGUGUAGGAUAGGUGGGAGGCUUUGAAGUGUGGACGCCAGUCUGCAUGGAGCCGACCUUGAAAUACCACCCUUUAAUGUUUGAUGUUCUAACGUGGACCCGUAAUCCGGGUUGCGGACAGUGUCUGGUGGGUAGUUUGACUGGGGCGGUCUCCUCCUAAAGAGUAACGGAGGAGCACGAAGGUUGGCUAAUCCUGGUCGGACAUCAGGAGGUUAGUGCAAUGGCAUAAGCCAGCUUGACUGCGAGCGUGACGGCGCGAGCAGGUGCGAAAGCAGGUCAUAGUGAUCCGGUGGUUCUGAAUGGAAGGGCCAUCGCUCAACGGAUAAAAGGUACUCCGGGGAUAACAGGCUGAUACCGCCCAAGAGUUCAUAUCGACGGCGGUGUUUGGCACCUCGAUGUCGGCUCAUCACAUCCUGGGGCUGAAGUAGGUCCCAAGGGUAUGGCUGUUCGCCAUUUAAAGUGGUACGCGAGCUGGGUUUAGAACGUCGUGAGACAGUUCGGUCCCUAUCUGCCGUGGGCGCUGGAGAACUGAGGGGGGCUGCUCCUAGUACGAGAGGACCGGAGUGGACGCAUCACUGGUGUUCGGGUUGUCAUGCCAAUGGCACUGCCCGGUAGCUAAAUGCGGAAGAGAUAAGUGCUGAAAGCAUCUAAGCACGAAACUUGCCCCGA